GGCUGGUCCAAGGGCAGUGGUGUUUACAACUAACUGAUCACAGCCAGUUACAGAUUUCUUUGUUCCUUUUCCACUCACUCCCACUGCUUCAUUUGAACAAACAAAC
This 106-nucleotide Y RNA is filed under the name Theropithecus gelada (gelada). Its description in RNAcentral is "Y RNA (ENSTGEG00000001227.1)". It matches the Rfam family "Y RNA". From Rfam's summary of the family: Y RNAs are components of the Ro ribonucleoprotein particle (Ro RNP), in association with Ro60 and La proteins. The Y RNAs and Ro60 and La proteins are well conserved, but the function of the Ro RNP is not known. In humans the RNA component can be one of four small RNAs -- hY1, hY3, hY4 and hY5. The record is from Rfam by way of RNAcentral. Lineage: Eukaryota; Metazoa; Chordata; Mammalia; Primates; Cercopithecidae.